UGGCCAUCCGAGUUGUAAUCUAGAGAAGUGUUACCCGCGUCGGACCGUGUACAAGUCUCCUGGAAUGGAGCGUCAUAGAGGGUGAGAAUCCCGUCUUUGACACGGACUACCGAGGCUUUGUGGUGCUCUCAAAGAGUCGAGUUGUUUGGGAAUGCAGCUCAAAAUGGGUGGUAAAUUCCAUCUAAAGCUAAAUAUUGGCGAGAGACCGAUAGCGAACAAGUACCGUGAGGGAAAGAUGAAAAGAACUUUGGAAAGAGAGUUAAACAGUACGUGAAAUUGCUGAAAGGGAAACGCUUGAAGUCAGUCGCGUUGGCCGGAAAUCAGCCUUCCUUUUGGUUGGUGUACUUUCUGGUUGACGGGCCAGCAUCAGUUUUGACCGGUGGAUAAAGUUGUAGGGAAUGUGGCAUCUUCGGGUGUGUUAUAGCCCUGCUUCGUAUACAUCGGUUGGGACUGAGGAACUCAGCACGCCGCAAGGCCGGGGUUCGCCCACGUUCGUGCUUAGGAUGCUGGCAUAAUGGCUUUAAUCGACCCGUCUUGAAACACGGACCAAGGAGUCUAACAUGCCUGCGAGUGUUUGGGUGGAAAACCCGAGCGCGUAAUGAAAGUGAAAGUCAAGAUCCUUUUCAUGGGGAGCAUUGACGCCCGGACCUGAAGUUUACGGACGGUUCUGCGGUAGAGCAUGUAUGUUGGGACCCGAAAGAUGGUGAACUAUGCCUGAAUAGGGUGAAGCCAGAGGAAACUCUGGUGGAGGCUCGUAGC
This 759-nucleotide ribosomal RNA is filed under the name Ephemerocybe pellucida. RNAcentral describes it as "Tulosesus pellucidus partial 28S ribosomal RNA". It matches the Rfam family "Eukaryotic large subunit ribosomal RNA", at positions 131 to 881 of the family's 3401-position model. Lineage: Eukaryota; Fungi; Basidiomycota; Agaricomycetes; Agaricales; Psathyrellaceae. The record is from RNAcentral.